This 148-nucleotide unclassified non-coding RNA is filed under the name Gigaspora rosea. RNAcentral's name for it is "partial internal transcribed spacer region". The stretch from base 1 to 46 matches the Rfam family "Eukaryotic small subunit ribosomal RNA", at positions 1786 to 1831 of the family's 1831-position model. Lineage: Eukaryota; Fungi; Glomeromycota; Glomeromycetes; Diversisporales; Gigasporaceae. The record is from RNAcentral.
AAGUCGUAACAAGGUUUCCGUAGGUGAACCUGCGGAAGGAUCAUUAAAAAAAUGAGGUAUUUUAUACCUCUUGUAUUUAAAACCCAACUCUUUAAAAUAUUUUUUUUUAAAUAAAAAAAAAAUUUCAACAAUGGAUCUCUUGGCUCUC